GCCCACGUGGCGGAAUUGGCAGACGCGCUAGAUUCAGGUUCUAGUCCCAGCAAUGGGGUACAGGUUCGACUCCUGUCGUGGGCACCA
This 87-nucleotide transfer RNA is filed under the name Verrucomicrobiota bacterium. RNAcentral's name for it is "tRNA-Leu". It matches the Rfam family "tRNA". From Rfam's summary of the family: Transfer RNA (tRNA) molecules are approximately 80 nucleotides in length. Lineage: Bacteria; Pseudomonadati; Verrucomicrobiota. The record is from RNAcentral.